RNAcentral lists this ribosomal RNA (801 nucleotides) under Staphylococcus aureus. RNAcentral's name for it is "bacterial SSU rRNA". It matches the Rfam family "Bacterial small subunit ribosomal RNA", at positions 26 to 809 of the family's 1533-position model. Lineage: Bacteria; Bacillati; Bacillota; Bacilli; Caryophanales; Staphylococcaceae. The record is from RNAcentral.
AGGAUGAACGCUGGCGGCGUGCCUAAUACAUGCAAGUCGAGCGAACGGACGAGAAGCUUGCUUCUCUGAUGUUAGCGGCGGACGGGUGAGUAACACGUGGAUAACCUACCUAUAAGACUGGGAUAACUUCGGGAAACCGGAGCUAAUACCGGAUAAUAUUUUGAACCGCAUGGUUCAAAAGUGAAAGACGGUCUUGCUGUCACUUAUAGAUGGAUCCGCGCUGCAUUAGCUAGUUGGUAAGGUAACGGCUUACCAAGGCAACGAUGCAUAGCCGACCUGAGAGGGUGAUCGGCCACACUGGAACUGAGACACGGUCCAGACUCCUACGGGAGGCAGCAGUAGGGAAUCUUCCGCAAUGGGCGAAAGCCUGACGGAGCAACGCCGCGUGAGUGAUGAAGGUCUUCGGAUCGUAAAACUCUGUUAUUAGGGAAGAACAUAUGUGUAAGUAACUGUGCACAUCUUGACGGUACCUAAUCAGAAAGCCACGGCUAACUACGUGCCAGCAGCCGCGGUAAUACGUAGGUGGCAAGCGUUAUCCGGAAUUAUUGGGCGUAAAGCGCGCGUAGGCGGUUUUUUAAGUCUGAUGUGAAAGCCCACGGCUCAACCGUGGAGGGUCAUUGGAAACUGGAAAACUUGAGUGCAGAAGAGGAAAGUGGAAUUCCAUGUGUAGCGGUGAAAUGCGCAGAGAUAUGGAGGAACACCAGUGGCGAAGGCGACUUUCUGGUCUGUAACUGACGCUGAUGUGCGAAAGCGUGGGGAUCAAACAGGAUUAGAUACCCUGGUAGUCCACGCCGUAAACGA